GGUCCUAUAGUCUAAUGGUCAGGACGUUGGAUUGUAUGUUCUCAACCACUCAAAAGCCCACCCGUGGAUCCCUUGACUAACCUCCAACAGUUGAUUAUCAAACAAGAUCCCCUUCCAAAGGCCCCAGUUCGAACCUGGGUAGGACCU
Molecule: transfer RNA, 147 nt
Filed under: Fusarium falciforme
Lineage: Eukaryota; Fungi; Ascomycota; Sordariomycetes; Hypocreales; Nectriaceae
Description: tRNA-Tyr
Rfam family: tRNA
About the family: Transfer RNA (tRNA) molecules are approximately 80 nucleotides in length.
Source: RNAcentral